AGCACUAACGUUUUGCUUUGGAUUCACCUCAGAUUGUGAAGGCAAUCUCCCUAAUACUUUAGACUCUUGACGGCUCACUGUAGUCGCCAAUUAACUCAUUUGGUUCUCCAAAUUCUGAAUGCUUGUUGUAGUUGCCUGUUGAAAUUAUUGAGUGUUAGUCGCAAGUGAUUUAACAAUUUCUUCAAGAGAUAUACCUGACUUGGAGUUUGACUGUGGAGGUGCUGGUUGUCUUGGUGGAUACUGUUGUGGGAAUCCUGACGGCCUAACUCCAUAGCUGAAGUUGGGAUGAUCCUUCCAUCCCGGAUUGUAUGUUUGUGCAUAAGGAUCAUACCUCCUCUGAAGCAUGCCUGGAAAUCCUCCAACUGCAUUGGCUUAUUCAGCGGGUUCUUCUUGAAGUGUAGGACACAUAUCAGUUGAAUGACCCAUAUUGUAACAAAUACCACAAGUCUUCACCUGUUGCACAUUACCUACAACAAACUUUUCCACAAGAGAAGUAAGUUUAUCUAAACGUUGUUCAACAGAAGAAAUAUUUACCUCAUUCACCGUUCUUGAAGUGGCAUCUUGCCUGUUGCCAAAUUGUUGUGCAUUGGCAGCCAUAUUUGAGAUCAACUCCCUUGCUUGAGUAGGGGUCUUGUUCACCAACACGCCUCCACUAGCAGCAUCUAUCAUACUCCUAUCCAUCAAUGACAAUCCUUCGUAAAAAUAUUGAAUAAGAAGUUGAUCAGAAAUCUGAUGCUGAGGACAGCUAAAAAAUUAAAAAAAUAUAUGCAUAUAUAAAACUGCUGUACCGUACAUCCGCCUUGGCCGUACAGCAGCUUCGUAAAAAUAUUGAAUAAGAAGUUGAUCAGAAAUCUGAUGCUGAGGACAGCUGGCACACAAUUUUUUGAAUCGCUCCCAAUACUCAUACAAAGUCUCCCUAGGAAGUUGUUUGAUCCCAUAAAUAUCCUUUCUGAUGUUGGCAGCUUUUGAAGCAGGAAAGUACUUCUCGAGGAACUGCUUCUUCAAACCAUUCCACGUUGUAAUUUAUCCAUGAGGCAAGUAGUACAACCAGUCUUUAGCUAGCCCAUCUACAGAGAACGGAAAAGCACGCAGCUUAAUCUGCUCUUCAGUCACGCCUUGUGGUCUCAUACUUGAACACACAACAUGAAACUCCUUAAGAUGUUUAUGAGGAUCUUCACCUGCAAAACCAUGAAACUUGGGUAAUAAAUGAAUAAGACUAGACUUUAAUUCAAAAUUUACCUCCAAGUCUACAUAUUGAAUGCAGAGUGGUUGUUGAUUCAAGUCUGGUUCAGCUUACUCUCUAAGAGUUCUUUCUACAAGUGCAGGUCUAUCCAUCACUUGUUCUUUUGAAUCGCUAAAUGAUUCAACUAAAUCAGGCACUGUAUCUGUUUCAGAAAGCAAAGGCGACGAGGAUCGUUGCUUAGCUCGCUUCGUCUGCUGUCUCAGCUGGCGAGCUGUCUUCUCAAUUUCAAGAUCAAACGAAAGUGUACCUGUACGAGAAGAACGAACCAUACACCAAGUAAAACGUAAAAAGGAUUUAAUAAAUGACACCAAUCCCCGGUAACGGCACCAAAAUUUGAUGGUUGUCGAAGCCAACAAAAAGAAAUUCCUACUCUAAAUAAAUUGUGUAUAGUGAUUGAGCAGGGUCUCGACUACUGAUCAUUGAUUCAAAUAUAGAUUAUUAUUACUUAUGAAUAGAUCGGUUAUAGCUACUGAGACCCUCUAAUAGCCAAUCUCUCCUUAACUAGUCGAUAACCAAGGUACGACCGUUGACUAUUUCCCUAAUCAAUGGACAACCCUAGAUACGAUCAUAGGAUUUAAUCAAUUGACAGCCUGAAAGACCAGAGAGACCCAAAUCCUAAUCAACACAUACAAUGAUUCAUUUAAAUUAGAUUGUUUAUUCUCAUAACACAACUCACUGCUAUGUUAUUUGUCACAAACAUUAAAAUCUUCAUACGAUGAAUCUUUUAAUUAACAAUAGAUUAAGUUGAUAAUUAAAUAGUGGCCAAUUACCUAAUUAACAAACAUAAUCAUGAAAAUAAUUCAAAGAAUAAACAAAUACCCAAAAAGCAAUAAAACAAUUAAAGCAUAAGAAAGAUCUCACAGUAGUGAUGAAUCAAAGUUUCAUUAUCCUUCAAUCAAAAAUAUAGGUUUAGUUCUUCAUAGAGAGAAGAGAAAAGUUUAGAUCUAGGGUUUCUUUCUCUUCUCCAAAAGUCCCCCCUUUUUUUCACAAUAGAUUCCUCUCUUAAAUACUCUCUCUCUCUUCUCCUCUAGAAUUCUAUUUAAAAUAAAAUACUAAUAUCUGAAAUAUUAAAUUCAUAAUUACAAAAAUAACCAAAAAUAUAAAACAUGUUAAACUAAAAACUGCAGGUCCGUAGUUGACAGCACGCGCCCACGCCUUAUCAACAAAGUUCUUCUGACGCUUAUAAUUUCUCCAAGAGAACAAUCAUCCUUAAACAUCAUCUCGUAGCUCAAUUUUAGCACCAAUCAAUAGAAUUGCACCUAUAAAAAUAAAACACAAGUAAAUCACUAUUAUUAAGUGCAAAACAUCGAUAUUAAGGAAAGUAAACAAUGCAAAACUAGUGCAUAAAUUGCACUCUAACAAUGUUCGUUUAUGUGAGGGUCUACAUGACUAUAUAUACAUUCAAGCAAACCUAAAAGGUCUAAAUAUUCUUUUCCAAGUUUUAAGAGAUAAAUAGAAGGAAUCUUUGCCAUUUUCCGUAAAACAAAAAUAAUAAUGUAAAUUUCAUAAGUGCUUUUUUUUUUCUUUCGACAGCUAUGAUGUUUAUGAAAAAACGAAAUCAUUGACUUCUUACCAAUUGGUUCUAAAUAGCAUUAUUUAGAGGUCAAUAACCUGCUUCUUUUUGGGGUAAUCAGGAAAAGAUUUUUCAUACUCGUUCAAAAAUAAUUGAUGCAAAUACCUAGUCAAAGUGAGUGUUAAUAGAAACGAUACACAAUUUUUAAUAUCUUUCAAUGGGGUAUACUUAGCGGCACAUUGAUAAAGGGACAUUUUAGUCUCUUGACAAUCGCUUUCGGACUUGCAUGACUUAACUUGCAAAUUGCAAGCUCUUAUCUUCGAUUUCCCAUCUCAUUUUACUUGACCAUAGUAAUAAUCACUACUUUCAAUGAUGUGAUAUAUAUGGCAUCAGUAGUGAGGAAUUUCGAACUACCAAUUUUUGCAAUUUCUGUGCAAAGUCUAUUCAGCAAUUAAAAAUAGGUGAUUUUUUUUACAUGAAUUGUAGGGUUCACUCAAACUCAUAGCUAUUUAAUGAAAAUUUUGUUUUCAUUUGCGGCGGCUGUUAAAUUUGGUACUUUUUGAUCCUUGAGAGUUGGGAGAUCAUUAGUCAUUGCUUUCUUCUUCUUCUUUUUUCUUUUUUCUUUUUCCUUUUUCUUUUUUUUUAAAAGACAAUAAAAUUCAUUAAAUGAAAAGAGUACAACAAAAUUCACUACUUUGAGUGGUAUAUUUAGAAAAAUAAUUUACCCGAAACUAAAUUAGAUAAUAGUAAAAUGUGAAAACUAAAGCUUUCAUUCUAUAAAAUAUUUGCCAAUACAUUUAUAAUUGUUCUCGACACAUUUUCAUAUUUUGAAAAUUUUAUGCAAUAAACUAAUUAUUAAUACAAUAAGAUGUAUUAUUUUAUAAAUUAUCAUUUGUUCGUUCAUUUCUCAUCUGAUUCCAAAGAUGAUUUCCAAUGAAUUUCACUACUGAAAACAUUUUCUUUACCAUUAAUAUAUAUAGAAACUGGAAGAAUUAAUGCUAUCUUGGAGAAUAGAAAAUGUCAGUGGCUGUUUUUGUUUUUAUUAAAGUGUAGGCUUUUAUAGUUCUUAUGUUAUGGAAGCUACUUUAAUAAAUUUAACGGAAACUAAUUAGAAACCCAAAAUAAUUUUUUCUUUUAUUCUUAUAACUUUUUGGGUCGGCCACUACCUACUUUCAAUGACUCUUGAUGAGCAUAAUUUAUAUACAUAUUUUACCCUUAAUUAUAUAAUUGCUAGUUAUUUUUAUUUGUUAUUUUUAAUUAAUUAAAUUAUUUUAUUGAAUAGGGGAUUAAUUGGAGAUUAUGGAUAAAAAAGGACAUAAGGGAGCUAAAUUUUGGAAGCGUUAAUUAAUUGAUUUCAGAAGCAAUUAGACAUACAUGCAUGUGGAAGUGAAGCCGAGGAAACCGAAGCUAGUAAAUUAAUUGAUCUAGCACAUGAAGAAGAAUUUAAGCAUAACAUUGGCUUUAGCUUAGUUAAGUUACACGUGCAUAGCAUUGUAAUGCAUGGAAAGCAACUUAAAGGGGCCCACACUUGACUUUUACAAUUGGAAAAAGGAAUCCUAGUGCAAGUUUAAUUGGUGAUCACGUGUGAGAGCUUAAGCAAAUAAAAGGGCAAGCCUUUUGGCUUUAGGAUUUAAGAGAUGGGGCCCAUUUCAAAGAUUAUAAAAGUAAGCUUUUGGCUUUUGGAGAAGGGCCGCCAGAGGAGGAGAAAAAGGCUGAAGAGAGCAAUCGGCAGCAUCAAUAUUUCGGCUUCAUGGCUGAUUUUAUUUAUUUUGUUGCUCCCAAUUCAAGUAUGUCUAACUAAUUUUCUUAUACUGAGGUUAAGGAUGAAACCCUAUUCAAUGAAAUAAUUAUCUUUUUAUUUAAUUAAUUCCCUACAUAUGUUCUUUGAUGAUUAUGGUUUUUAUUUCACAUGAUUAAUUGGAUGUUAAUAAAAUCUUUUCAUCAAUUCUGUCAUGCAUUAUUGAUUGUUAGGAUUAAUAUUCGAUUAAAUCUAUGCUUGGAUUUAUAAAGUUUAUACAUGAUUAUCUUUGAUUCUAUGUCUUUCAUUAAAUUGUUUACAUAGAGUGCUUAGGAAACUUUGACUCUUUGUUAUUCAAUAUGUUUACAUGGGAUGCUUAGAUGUCAUACUAUUAAGCAGAAAAAGAACCUACAUUAGAUUUAAUUACUUGGGCUUAAUUGAUAUAUCCAUGAGAUGACAUAGAUUGAUUUCGAGUUGUCACUCUAAAAUUGGGGGUUAAUUAAUAAUUAGAUAAUGACUAAUUGAAUAGUGGUGGAUUCUGAAACCUUGGUUAUUUAUCUUAUUGAUUUCUCAUUUGCUUUAAUUGUUUUCUUAGUUUAAUUAGUUUAAUUUCUCUUAAAACUCAAAUUGCUCAACUAGGUUAGAAUUAAUAUUAAUUUUAGAUUUAAAUUAGACUUUUCAAUUUAUAACAAUUCCUGUGGGAUCGACCUCGUUACCACUAUUCUAACUCUAGACUCUACUGGGUGAAAGUUAAUAUACGUAGAUGAGAUAAGUGAAGAAAGUUAAUAUACAUCAUUAACUUCAACGGAACUUUUUUCUUUGAUUCAUUUUGAUGAGAUAAGCUUAAAAGAAUUAAUUUAUUUCUGUAGUAUUAAACAACACUUUUGUGAACUAAACUCAACAUACAGGAAUGCAGGAGGCCUAAUGCGGCAAAAUAAAAUAAUAAUCAUAAUUAUUAUUAUUAAAUAAAAAAAAUUAAUUAAUUAAUUAAUACUCACUUCCAAACUAUUUUUUGAAACGGAAUUAUCAAAAAUUUAAUAAAAUAAUUUUUUAAAAAUUGGUUAAUAAUAAAAGAAUUUUUUAAUAUUCAGAAUAAUUUGAAAAAAAUUAUAUUUUAUUUGAUAAUUAAAAUAAAUUUGGUGUGUCAUGAGAGUCUACAUGGCUACAUAUACAUUUGAGCAAAUCUAAGAGGUCUAGUUGUUCUUUAUGAAGUUUUAAGAGAUAAGCAAAGGGAAUCUUUAUCAUUUUCUAUAAAAUAGAAAAAAAUAAUAUAAAUUUUAUAAGUGCUUUUUUUUUAGCUUACAAUAGUUAUCAUGAUUAUGAAAAAACAAAAUCAAAGAUUUUUUUAUAAUACGGUAUGAAUAUGAAAUAUCUAGUUGAUGGAGAAAGAUAUUUCAUUUAACACGAUGUCCAUUAUUGUCAUUUGCAAUCUUACAGCAGUUUAAUAGUAAUAUUUAUGAAACACAUAAGACUACUUUUAAAACUCACAGCACUUUUACAAAUAAAUUUUAUCAAAUAUUUAACUGAUUAUCUUUACAACUGAUUAUUUAUAUAGCACAACUAACAACAAUUAUUGGGUUAUUAGGUUUUGAUAGUAAUUCUUAAUUUUGUAACUCCCAUUUGUUGGUAAAUUUAUCUUUUAGUCUUUACCCGUGGACGUAAACUUACGCCAAACCACAUAAAGUAAUGUGUUCAAUUUAUUUUUUUUCAUUUGUUUAUUAUUAUAUUUAUAUUUCUCUGAAAGUUGUAGUCGUCAUAAUAUUAAUAAUUGCUCAACCCAAACGCUUUUGCAAUAAAAAUCCAGGCAGAGCCUGAAAUCUACUUUGAACCAAAGUGGCAUCAUCCGGAUAACUUAGAAGAGAAAUUAAGCAACAUUGGAUCCCUCUCUACUGACUUCGAUCCACCAACACUAUCAAGCAUGGAAUAUGGAAGAGGAUAUUUUGUUUUAAGUGCUGAAAUUUGAUUUCACAUUGCACUAACUUUGUAAAUUUUGUGGAUCAAUUUCAGAAUGUAAAAUCGUAAGGACUUUCUUGGACAGAAUCUCUGUCUAUCUCAAGUGGAAAGGGGCCACAAAGUAUGUCCAAGAGAAUGAAAUUUAGAAAGACCCCAGUUACAAAAAAUUGGAACGCUUGAAUGGACGGAUGGCAAUACUCAUGGAAAGGACGAUGUCUUCAUUAGGGGUUUUUUGAAUUUGGAGAUUAAGGCAGGGUGUCGCACUCAGCCCAAAAUCAUCAAUCAUGAAAAUAUUAGCUGUUUAUUUUAUCCAAAAAAAAAGUAAAACUUAUGGAGAGAGUAAGACAGAGAGAAACAAAAGUGUACACCAUGAAUUUAAAUCUCAGGAACCAGCAAAGGUCUACAAAAACAAAAAGAGUUUCAGAGACAGUUGAUAACAAAUACUAAUAAGAAUAAUAAUAAAAUUUUCCUUUAGUUCUUAUGCAACAGAUGAAGGAUGGUAAGGAAUAGGAAUCAUGCACAAAUCUUGUUUUCUUCUUACUGUCGUGGCAAAGGCCUCGGUCAUGUCCAAAUCUUCAUGCUUCAUACCAUUUGGUAGUUUCCAGUCAAAAUGGUAUAAUAGCAUCGCCAGUGGAAGUUCCACGCUGGCCAGACCAAAUGACAUUCCAGGGCAUAUCCUCCUACCAGCUCCAAAUGGUAUGAAUUCAAAAUUAGUACCCUUGUAGUCAAUAGAAUGAUCGAGGAACCUCUCUGGAAUAAAGCUCGCAGGUUCAGUCCAGUACUUGGGAUCUCUUCCAAUCGCCCAUGCAUUAACAAAAACUUUAGCUUUCACAGGAAUGUCAAAUCCAUUAAUUUGACAUCUCUCUCCACAUUCUCUUGGAAGUAGCAACGGAGCAACAGGAUGUAAUCUCAAAGUCUCCUUAACAAAUAGCUUAAAAAAUUUCAUUUCAUCAAUGCUAGUUUCAUUAACCUUUCCUGUUCUAUGAAAUACUUCUCUCACCUCAGCUUGUGCCUUUUUCAUCACCCUUGGAUUUCUCAUCAUUUCACACAUUGCCCAAUCCACAGUCGUAGCAGAUGUUUCACUCCCAGCAGCAAAAAUGUCCUGAAAGGGGUUUAUGCAUAUGAGUUAGUCCAGAUAAUUAUAUGGUGUCACUCAUCUUCAGGGACGUAAUCUAGUAUAGGAAUGCCCCAGCUCGCUUUUUAUUUUUUAUAAUGAUUAUUGGGGAAAAAAUAUAUCUGAUUUAUUAUUUAAGAAAUUGCCUCAGCUAAAUUAUAAAAUUGAGAAAGUGCAAUGGUUAAUUUUAAAAGAUUUCAUGUUGGCCCUAACUUAACUGUCUAAUUCUAAUUAAUAUGAUUAAUCAUUAAAACGUUAUAAAACUUAACUAAAGAAAAAAGAUUAUUAAGAUAGAAUUAAAAAAAUUUUAAAAAAGAUUUUUACUUUACUUUUUGUUUUUGUCUUUUCCGUCUCUUUCCAAUGCUUUGAACGAAGCACAAUUGUGUUUUUGUUUGUCAUGGAGUAAUGUACGGAUUUUAUCCUACUUCCCUAAAUCAAAAGUAACUUUUGUGCAAUUAUUUAGUCUUUCAACAUUAAUUCCUAAGUUGUAAGCCUAGCUAGUUCUAAUGUUUAAUUUUUUCCAUUGAUUUUUUAUCUAGUUUCAAAAUUCCUAAUUUUAUGAUGUAAUUAUGUUUGAUAUUUGUGCUGCAUCAUAUGAGUACGUAUUUUCAAUAUUAUAAACAGGUUUUAAGAAAAAAAUUAAGUGAUAAAUUAGUUGUGUAUAUUAGAGAAGAUGUUUUUAAUUGUAUUAAUAAUGAAACUAUUAUACAAUAUUUUUAACAUAUGAAAUAUUGUUAAGGAGUCUUUGACGAGGACAAUUUGUAAUAAAUAAAUUUAUUGUCAAUGUAUAUUAUAGUUGCAAUGUUCUAUAUUGCUAUAUAAAUUUUUAGAAUUGUAUUAAAUUUUAAAUGGGGGUGCUAACUAAGGGCAUGCUCUGUGCACAUGGCUAGCCUUCGUUUGGAGGUUGUGGGGCCCACGCCCCUGCUCAACUUAUCACAUGACACUCGACUAACAAUAAAAGAAACAACUUAAUGAAAAACAAAAUGGAAUUGAUGAUAUUAAAUGCAUAGUUACUCACAAAGAUUACUGCUUUAAUAUGGUCUGUAGUCAAGAAAGAAUCAAGAUCUCCACGCCCUUGAAUUUUCAACAGAACAUCAACCAGAUCUUCAUCAUCACCAAUCUUGGAAAUCUUCAAUGUUGCCUUGCGCUUCUUAUGUUCAUUGAUAAUGUUUUUAACUAUUCUGUCAGCUUCUUGAUGCAGCCUCUCCACCCGAGACUUGUUUCCAGUAAGCCACUGAAGGAAUCCAACGGAAGGAAACAUAUCUGCGAUAUUAAAACCUGACAUCACUUUUGUUAUUUCCGCUAUAACUGAGGCAAAUGCUUCUUCGUCUCUGGAUCUGUUUCCAAAGGCUGCCCUUGAAGUGAUACCAUACAUUAAUGAGUAAACUUUCUCAGUUAAGUUAAUAACUGAUCCAGCUUUCGAAGAAAUCCAAUCAAUGAGAUCAGACACCUCUGCUUCUCUUAUCGAUUGGAAAGAUUGGACUCUUUUGGCGCUCAAAAGCUCAGAUACACAGAUUUUUCGCAGUUGUUUCCAAGAAUCACCAUAUGGUGAAAAGAUAAUAUCACGAUAAUUAUAAGAGAUGAUUUGUGCUGGUGGAAAAUGAGGCCUGGAUGCAAAGAUAACAUCAUGCGUUUUCAUAACUUCUUUGGCAACUUCAGGGGAAGAUACAAUAAUGGCUGGAACUUGCCCCAGUUGUAGGAGCAUAAGGGGUCCAUAUUUCUUGGUUAAGUCUCUUAGUCGGUGAUGGGGUAGGAAGCCAGCAAGCUGGUGCAAGUUUCCUAUUACAGGUAAUUUCCACGGCCCUGGUGGUAGAUUUGAGACUCUGUUUUUAGUUUCUGAUCUCCUCUCUAGCUUAAGCAAAGUUAAGGCAGAGAGAAGAAUAGCUAGAAGGAUGAACAAGGAGGAGAUCCCAAGAAGCUCCAUUUGAAAUGAACAGGAAAAUGGAGAUUGAAAUUUUACUAGUCGGUAGGUAUAUCCACGCUGUGGAUCUUUUGUUGUCUUUCAUCCAAAAUAUCUUUAAAAAAUGGGAAGGAUAAUGAUUGAUUGCAUUACAUGUGCCCUAUUCUGACACUUCCUAAUAUGGGCAAAGAUUGGUUGGCCACUAUAAAUACACGAGUAAAUGUCACUGAAUAUUCACUUUAGUUUUAUCGAUUUAAAUGAUAUUCAUAUUAUAUUGAUAAUAUAGGAAGUGUAUAUAACUAAACGACAAAAAGGCUAAGAGAAAUAAGCCAUGAGAAUUAGAGCUAAUAAAUUUAACACGAACUAAUUAUCUAACAUGAAUUCAAAUGAAUAAAUUAGUAUGAAUUAUUAAAUUUAAUAUAAAUAUUAAAUAAGCCAAAUCUAGAUUAACAUAAUUUUUUUUUCGUACCGAAUUAAAAUUAAAGUUUUUAACUUAUUUAUCUAAUUAAUAAUAUAAUUAUUAUUUUUUUAGUCGGUAGGCAUAUCCAAGCUGUGGAUCUUUUGAGGCCUUUCAUCCAAGGACUCGACUAGCUUACAGAAUCUGUAAGGUACAGACUGCAGCAUCAGCCGUUGGAUGUGGUUGGAUGUGGAGUGAGAAACUAAACAAUAAAAAAUCGGAUGGUGGGAUGACGGGAGAUGUUUGUUACAGAAUCUGUACCAUAGACAGGUCCUUCAUCCAAAAUAUCUUUAAUCAGUACACACAUUGCAAAUGUGAAGGAUGAUGAUUGGUUGCAUAACCUGUGUCCUACAUUUCCAUAAUAAUACGGAUAAACAUUGGUUGGCCACUAUAAAUAGAUGAGUAAAUGUCACUGAAUGUUCACUUUUAUCGAUGUAAAUGAUAUUCAUAUUACAACCCUUGAUAAUAUAGGAAGUGAUAAAGGGGCUAAGAGAAAAAAGCCAUGGGAAUUAGAGUUACCAAAUUACAACCUUUUUACAUGACGCGAAUAUAAUAUGAAUAAAUAUGUAUGAAUUAUCAAAUUAAUACGAUUAUUAAAUAGAUCGACUCUAGGUUAAUAUGAUUAUUUUCAAGUCGAGUUAAGGUUAAAAUUUUUAUCCAUUUACUCGAUUAAUGAAACAAUUAUAUUUUUAUUUUAAAUCACAAUACUAAAAAAUUGGAAUUUAUUGAUACUAAUUUAAUGACAGUAAUCCAUUUUAUUGACACUUGUUAAUUGUGUUAGUAAUACUCAAGCCAGAAUACACUGACACUAAUUUUUAGUGUCAGUGAUUUUUGUGUCAGUAAUUUAUUUCACUAUAGUAUCACUAAAAUAUCAACUCGGUGAUAUUAGUGUUUCAUGAUACUAUUUACAUGUCAGUAAUUUAUGUGAUUAUAGUAUCAUAAAUUGACUCAAUAUAAAAAAUUAUUAAUAUUUAUUAAUGUUAUGCUGCUUUUGGUUAAUAAUAUAUUUUUAUUUUAAUUAUAUUUUUCAUGCUUGUUGUACAACCAAAAGAAAACUCAAAAUAUAUCAAACAUAAAAUAUCUUGCAACAAUUCAUAUAAUAAACAUCCCAAAUACAUCACUUAAAUUUAAACAAUUCAACUACACCAUUAUUUGGAAAAGACAAACAUAAGUACCAAAUUAAAUUUCCGACAAUCUCUUAACAAGUACUAAUGAUUACUAAAUUAAGUUUCCAACCAAAAAAAAAACAAAAUCCCAACAAGAUCACUCAAUAUCCAUCCGCAUUUUUUUUUUCCACCAACAAGUGCAUAAAAUCAAUUAGUAUACCAUGAAAAUAAAUCUUGAAUAUUUUGAAACAAAAACACUUAUAAAUUACUCAUAUAUUACCUCAUAUAUUAACUUGGCAACAUGUAGAUUCUACAAUUUCCUUUUCUGAAUCAUUAACUUGCUUCUUUUAAUCCUGCUAUUCCAUGAUGAAGCUCAUACUUCAUUUUCCCUCAAUUAUCACAAAUUGCUUCACCAAAAGUAUUCUAUCAAGUAUUAAAGAAAACACUUAAUAAAUACAUAAGUACUCAGUAAUAAAUACAUCAGUAUUCGGUAAUCAAGACAUGAAUAAUGGUGUCUAGAAAUUGGCAAGCAUAACUUAUAUUUUUGUAAUCUAUUUCAUUGUUUAAAUUUAAAGUGAACAAUACUAUAAUAUACGAUCAAAUACAUUAAGUUAACAAGCACUAUAGCACUUAUAGUGCCCACAUUCAACAAUGAUCGAUUGGACCGAAAGCCAUAAAUUGAAAAAAAAAUGAAAAAAAUAUAUUUAAUGAACUUAGAGGAAAAAUAAAAAUUAUCAACAUUUAAACAUCUAGUGAAGAAAUUAACCAAGCCGACAUGAAAAUAGAAAUAGAAGGCCACUUAACACAAAGUAACUACUCCCUAGACUAGCAAAUUUCCCUUUCAUUUCCCAAAUGAACAAAAAUAUCAAAAACCAAAAUACCAAACUAAACCAAAUCACAAAACCCAAAUUGAGUUUGCAUUUUUCACUUUAAAGCUUUGACGGUAUUAAAAAGUGCAGGCCAAGUGUUUGUCAAAAUGAAUCAAUGAACCCCAGCAGCAAAUGAACAUUCAAUCACCUUCAUGACUACAAAUCACAGAUGCAUUACUCCUACACAAACUGCAAAAUGACAAACAUAAAAAUCAGUGACUUCUUAACGUAUGCUUUAACAAAGGUACAAACAGUGAUAAAUCAAAAUCACCGUAUAGCACCUGAAAACGACUAGAAACAAUGUUAGUGUCCUGGAGGUACUAUGGACGACCAAGAGAAAGGAACGCAAACUUCCACUACAAAUGAGAAAUAUAAUAACAAAAUUAGUACAAAAUCGGGUCUUCUCAUAUUUAUAUUCACUAAUAAGAAAAACUACAAACAUCGUAAUACUAUGAAUAACAUAUUUUUUGAAAAGAAAAAUCAGCAAUGCUAAUAAUAGGAAAUUUCUUUACUGAAUAAUGUGGUAAAGAAUAUGAUUUAUUGAACAUUACAAAUCAUUCACAAGCCCAAAAGAGUGGUUCUAAAAUUGCAUGAUGCAUAAUGCGAAAAAUGCUUGAAAUCUAGCUCUACUAAAACAAAUGACCAGUCAUCCAGUCUUUACUUUUUACUAUUAUAAUAUUUCUACUUCCUAUUGAAGCAAAGGAAAUAAACUUUGGUUAAGGAAAACAUGAUGCACUCCCAAGGAAUAUAAACCUUAGCAAACUCUUCAUCUGGAACUAGCAAUUUCCCCUGUAUUCGAACUUUUAUUUCUUGCAAAGUCUCACCUUCGUGUAUGACUAAGAAAAAUAGUUCACCAAAGUUCUGAAUUUGUUGCCAAAUAGAGAUAGUGCUAAGAUGGUGGGAUAUAAAUGAAGUAUUUGAGAUUCACUAUGUAAAUAGCUUGGAGAGUUAUAAUUACCAUCUGUUUCUGAACAAUCUCUUUUAUAAAGAGAUAAACAUGAAUUAGACGAUCGUGUGGACCAAGAUGCAUGAGCAUUCUCUUUAAGCUUCUACUCUUGAAAUGUUCAAUCAAAUCAUUCAUUAAUUUUAUGUUUAGACUAGAUGCAUGAGCACAUUAGCUGUGAAAAAAAAUUGAACUUUUGACUUCUCGAUUUCAAUUUUUAUGUCUCGACUCUAGAGAGUAAAAAAGGUUAAAGAUCAGAAAAGUAAUUCAAUCAUAAAUCUUACAUCCAACUAACAAAGCAGGAAGUUUUAUCAAGAAGGCAAGUUUUUUUAUUAUAAGACGCAAUUCUCCCAUUCCCGAAGAGGGAUACUAGUUGGCAAGGCUUCUUAUAGCCAAUUAAAGAAAACACAGUACUUAAUAUAUCAAUUUAAUAACUCAUCACAUCACUCAACCCCACACAACACAUUUAAUCUUCUAUAAUAUACCUAACCCCUUAAAACCUCAUAAACUAAACAAAAACAUAUUUACUCAACCUCAUCACUGUUAGGAAAUUGAGCUUCCUCCCAAGAUCACUCCAAGCAAUUUAUCAAGCAACAAAUUAAUAGAAAAAAAUUAAAUGGAGAAUACAUCAAUCACACAACACAAGAUUUACGUGGAAAACUCCAAAUCUGGAGAAAAAUCACGGCCGUUGUCACAAGACAACCAGAGAAAAAUAUUCACUAUAUGGAAAAUUAUUACAACCACUCUCAGAAAUAAUUUUCUCUCACCCAAGCCCCAAAUACAUAAUCCCGAUAAAUAUUCCUUAACAAAGCAAACCCAUAAUACCCAUAUUGAGGAGCCAAAUGCUCCCUCAAUAUAACUACAUGCUUAAGAAUAUUUUUAUCUCUCAAUUCUCACCAAAAUUUGGAUCGCUUCUCUAGGAUUUGGAUACAAAAAUAAGGAGGAGCACUCCUCUAUUUAUAGCCAAAUUAUGACUUCCUUUUCUUCCUUUUUUCCUUCUUUCCAUGGGCAGCACCUACCCAUUUUCCUUGUUCAAUGGCUAGCCACCCACCAUCUUUGAAUUCAAAGAUGGUUGCUCAACCACCCACCAUUUUGACACUUUUUUUUUAAUCAAUUUUCAANNNNNNNNNNNNNUAUCAAAAGGAAACUCACCAUCUGCGAGAAUAUCAGUAUCUUUUUUACUGAUUUUGGAGUAAUUUGCCGAGCCCACUCCACCUUCUUGACAAUUUUCUUGAAGUGCCAAAAUUGUCCACACCUUCAAAUCUUUGUGCAUACCAGAUUGGAUACACCUUUGACUUGAAUUCUCCACAAGCCAAUAAAAUCAUUCUCCCAUUAAUUUUUCAACAAUAUCAAACUCUACCAAGUUUGAAAAACACCAGCUGCUGACAUAUAUGCUUUACAUAAACAGUACCGUAUACCCCAAGUACAAACCGUUGGCUCUGAUACCACUGUUAGGAAAUUGAGCUUCCUCCCAAGAUCACUCCAAGCAAUUUAUCAAGCAACAAAUUAAUAGAAAAAAAUAAAUAGAGAAUACAUCAAUCACACAACACAAGAUUUACGUGAAAAACUCCAAAUCUGGAGAAAAAUCACGGCCGUUGUCACAAGACAACUAGAGAAAAAUAUUCACUAUAUGGAAAAUUAUUACAACCACUCUCAAAAAUAAUUUUCUCUCACCCAAGCCCCAAAUACAUAAUCCCGAUAAAUAUUCCUUAACAAAGCAAACCCAUAAUACCCAUAUUGAGGAGCCAAAUGCUCCCUCAAUAUAACUACAUGCUUAAGAAUAUUUUUAUCUCUCAAUUCUCACCAAAAUUUGGAUCGCUUCUCUAGGAUUUGGAUACAAAAAUAAGGAGGAGCACUCCUCUAUUUAUAGCCAAAUUAUGACUUCCUUUUCUUCCUUUUUUCCUUCUUUCCAUGGGCAGCACCUACCCAUUUUCCUUGUUCAAUGGCUAGCCACCCACCAUCUUUGAAUUCAAAGAUGGUUGCUCAACCACCCACCAUUUUGACACUUUUUUUUUAAUCAAUUUUCAAUAAUCACCUCAAUGUGCAAACAAUAAGCACAUAAGUAAACAAAACAAUGAAUCAACAAAGCAAUAACAAAUAACCUCUUAUAAACUUCACUAAAAAUGCCAUCCUAUAAGCGUUUCCUAAACAGCCGCUCAGCACAUCGGUAGCCUUUCCAAGGAGUGGCUGUAACAGAGCAAAAAAAUACUUCAAUCAAUUUCUAAAGCAAAUAAGAAAUUAAAAAUAGAUAAUUGUACUGCAUAAGUAAUAAUAACAGUAUAAAUUCAUAUAUACACAUAGUGCGAACAGAAAAAUUGAACAAAUUAGAUUAGGAUAAAUUAGCUCAGAAAAGUCGAACAAUCAAUUUCAGCCUUAACAUUUCAAAAAUUUUGUAUGAUAAGCUCUCUGAUUGCUGCUAUUAAUUUACCUACUAAUUUCUAUAUUCAAGUUAACUCAGUUAUUCAUUUAAGCUUACCUUGAAAGGGGAUUGAGGCAAAACGGCAGCGACGGCAGCAGCUCGAUUGCAGUGACGAACGACUGAGUAUUAAUGAUGGCUGGAAGCUGUUAAAGCCCAUGGGUGAUGACAGCUGGAAGCUGUUACAGCCCAUGGGUGAUGACGGUAGCUAUCGGUGACGAACAACUGAGUGUUGAUGAUGGCAGUGGCUUGUCGAAAGUAAUGAUGCAAGUUAGCGUGGGGUGGGUUUGUUUUCUAAGUUACGAUUGACAAUACGAUGAAAUGGGGGAGAGGGAUCUCGACUGAGAUUUAGGGAUUUUGAUUUUGCUAUUAUAUUAUUCUUACGCCUCUAUAUAUAGUAUUUGCAUCGUUAUUCUAGGGUCAAGUGGUUUAUGAUCCAAACUUAAAAGUUUUGAAUCUUAGAAGUCCCGGGUUCGAGAUGCACUUAAACAAAUUAUAAUGAUUAUUUUUCAAUCAGUGAUACUUUUGUGUCAGUAAUUUUUUUUAUGGAAAAUGAUGUUUGUCUCGGGUCAAACCCCAAAACGACUCAAAACGGCGUCGUUUCGUUCUAGUUGUUUUUUUCUUUUAUACCCUUUGAAAUGACGCCGUUUAGAGAAUAAUGAAAACGCAAAACAAAAUCCAUUUUCCUGCACCCACUGCCCUUCGAAACAGCACCCAUUGCCCUUCAUCUUCAUCUCCUCGUUUCACCGGACAGCCCCCUUUGACCAGACAAUCACAACUGAAUUGCAGAUCCUUCAGAAGGCAGCUGUUCCUUCGUUCGCCUUGUUCCCCUUUCCUUCAUCGACCGAGUUGCAACCAUUCGCAAUCCACCACAACCGCGACUGAAACUGCCAUUUGACAACUUCACUCUCUCACUUGCUUCUACAGAAAUUAGUAGAAUGCCAGGAGAUGGGCGAAGAGGUUUUGAAAUCAGUAGAGACUCAAGUUCCUGCUGCUGUUUAAAUUAAAAUCAGACCAACACUAAGAUGAAGGUCUCCAAUCUCAAUGGAUUUUUUUAUUUUUGUGCUUUCCAAUGUGAACUCUAGGGCCAGAAGCCCACAAUAAACACUUAUAUUUUUUCUCACUGCAUGAUUUUUCCAUCCUUGUAGCUAUUAGGCAAAUUAUUUACUGCAGGAUGUUACAGGAUCACGGCUUUGUAAUCUUUUGGGUGGUAGAUUUUUGGUUGAUAAGAUAUUGAGUUGGUGUUGUAUCUUUUCCGUCUUUCUGAAACCGCCUUCAUCUGGAGCUGUUGUAACAUGGAAUAUCAUUGUGACAACUUUUGGAAAAUAAAAGCAAGUCUUUUAAUUUGCACUUUGUUUACAGUUUGCUCUGGUGUCUCAAUGUUGAUGCAAAUUAGAAAAUCAAAUUAAAAUUGAAAUCUGUUUUUGUUAUUAGUUAGCACUAGCAUUUUCA
This 16704-nucleotide long non-coding RNA is filed under the name Citrus sinensis (sweet orange). RNAcentral's name for it is "long non-coding RNA (CSIN_LNC004778)". The stretch from base 851 to 957 matches the Rfam family "Plant small nucleolar RNA R71". Lineage: Eukaryota; Viridiplantae; Streptophyta; Magnoliopsida; Sapindales; Rutaceae. The record is from RNAcentral.